CAGGUUACCUGCUCCAGUCUAUUGCGCAGAUCAAUGAAUUGGCCGGAGAGAAGCUGGAAGUCGUGAGAGGUUGAAGUGAGUAAAGAUGAAUGCUGCUCCAGCACCACCCCCUGCUGGGCCAAGGUUGCCUGCACUUAUUCUCUGAUAGAUUUACUUGCACAAUCCAUGACGUGGCACGUUUGUACUGUGAGGGAUGAGUCAGAGAGGAAUUCUGAUGCAAGUAAAAUGUAUUAAAUAAUGCAGGAGAAACAGUGGUCGCAAACACGACCACAGAUAGGGAGGAGAAAGAGAGUCAAAAACAGUGGUAAUCAAUGGAUAUAGUCACAAAGGUCCUUCGGUGUACUGCUUAAGACAAGACAAACCGAUGAUUGAUCCGGAGAGAGAGUCGAAUACCAAUGAGACAAUAAGUUCAUGAGAAAAAGUUCACAGAUAGUAAUCCACAGAGAUGGGAGGCAGGAAUCGGACCAGGUGCUACACUUGAACCCCAGCUAAAUACUGAGAGCAAACCACAGUGACUAAACAAUGAAACAGGCAUGACAAGAUCACAAAUACUAGGCAGGAUUCGAGCAAAACAUGGCAGUGAUCACCCGGAAAACUCACACGCGUGACGAAAGACAAACACCUGACGUUUAAAUAAACCUUAUAGAGACAAGACACAGAUGGAAAACAAUUAGAGAAACGAGGGGUAGGAGACACAAAGUGGAGCACACGUGAGGAGCUGUUAAAACAUAAAGGUUUUAGGUACUGGGAUCAUUGCAAUUAUCCUGGUGUUCUCCAUUCUUCAAUUCUUCAUCUCUAUCUGCAUCUGCAGAGCCUGUUCCUGUGAUGCAAACCCACUCGUGAUCAGUAAUACAAUAGACCUGAUGGUUUUGGAGAAAGAAGCGUCCCCACUAAACAUGCCACAACCACCAAGGAAAAAUUAGCAGAAUGGAAACAAAAUAUUUAAAGGACUAAAAUGGAGGACAGAGGCCUUUUGUAAUAAAAAAAGACAUGUGGUUCUCAUUAAUAAAAUAAAGUGCUAAUACAGAUUUUUUUUAGUGAACUAAUUAUCGUAACAUGUCUUGUCACUCCACAGAGACCAUAUGACACAUUUUGUCAUAGGGAUUCUGUGGACUUUUGCGUGUUUCUGUCAGGACAUCGGACAGCUUUCACACCCCAGCUAGCCUAUGUUGCAUAAGCGCAAGUGUUUCAAUGUCAGCGGAAGUGUAAUGUAAAUGCGCGUGUGUCAUUGUAUUUCGCCUCAUUUGGCGUCCCAUACUUUAAUUAUGGAUGUUUGUGCUUUUUGGAGCUUUGCCAUAUUAUAACAUAAUUUAUUUGUGUUCAUUUGAAGAAGUCAUAUAUAUCUGAGGUGGCAUAGGAUUGAGCAAAUUAUGAGAAGAUUUUCAUUUUUCAGUAAAUAAUUUCUUUAAUGUUACAUCAGACUAUCUGUGAGAAUAAAUGACAAUGUAUUUGAGAAUAUUUACAGUAACUGUAGACGUUAUGAUUCUUUUCAAUAUAGUUUUUUUAUCAAAACAAUAGUGUUUCCAGAUUUUAUCCCGCAUUUUAUGAUUUGAACAGCAGCAUGGUUAGAUUGUAGCUUUUGUCAAUUUUU
Non-coding RNA from Misgurnus anguillicaudatus (oriental weatherfish), 1591 nucleotides. The record is from RefSeq and is a predicted model, not a curated record. NCBI's taxonomy places the organism in Eukaryota, Metazoa, Chordata, Actinopteri, Cypriniformes, Cobitidae.